GAUGAAGAACGUAGCGAAAUGCGAUAAGUAGUGUGAAUUGCAGAAUUCAGUGAAUCAUCGAAUCUUUGAACGCACAUUACGCCCCUUGGUAUUCCAUGGGGCAUGCCUGUUCGAGCGUCAUUUGUACCUUCAAGCUCUGCUUGGUGUUGGGUGUUUGUCUCGCCUCUGCGUGUAGACUCGCCUCAAAAUAAUUGGCAGCCGGCGUAUUGAUUUCGGAGCGCAGUACAUCUCGCGCUUUGCACUCAUAACGACGACGUCCAAAAGUACAUUUUUACACUCUUGACCUCGGAUCAGGUAGGGAUACCCGCUGAACUUAAGCAUAUCAAUAAGCGGAGGA
This 337-nucleotide unclassified non-coding RNA is filed under the name soil metagenome. Its description in RNAcentral is "partial contains 5.8S ribosomal RNA, internal transcribed spacer 2, and large subunit ribosomal RNA". The stretch from base 1 to 120 matches the Rfam family "5.8S ribosomal RNA", at positions 35 to 154 of the family's 154-position model. The record is from RNAcentral.